UCACCUUUUAUUGGAAAGGAUGAAUGAGCCAGCGAUAUUCUGAGUUUGGUACAUAUUGAUGUAUUUACACUCAUGAAUAUUAGUGCCAGAAGUGGGCUUUACUACUUCAUUAAAAUCUCUGAUGACCUAUCUUGACAUGAAUGCAUCUUGCUUAUGAAGCACAAAUCCGAAUUGAUUGAAAUAUUCAAAUAAUUUCAUAAUGAGGU
This 206-nucleotide long non-coding RNA is filed under the name Elaeis guineensis (African oil palm). RNAcentral describes it as "long non-coding RNA (EGUI_LNC071887)". The record is from RNAcentral. Lineage: Eukaryota; Viridiplantae; Streptophyta; Magnoliopsida; Arecales; Arecaceae.